RNAcentral lists this ribosomal RNA (426 nucleotides) under uncultured bacterium. Its description in RNAcentral is "bacterial SSU rRNA". It matches the Rfam family "Bacterial small subunit ribosomal RNA", at positions 355 to 773 of the family's 1533-position model. The record is from RNAcentral.
UGGGGAAUUUUGGACAAUGGGGGCAACCCUGAUCCAGCAAUGCCGCGUGAGUGAAGAAGGCCUUCGGGUUGUAAAGCUCUUUUGUCAGGGAAGAAAAGGCUGUGGCUAAUAUCCACGGCUCAUGACGGUAACUGAAGAAUAAGCACCGGCUAACUCAGUGCCCGCAGCCGCGGUAAUACGUAGGGUGCAAGCGUUAAUCGGAAUUACUGGGCGUAAAGCGUGCGCAGGCGGUUUUGUAAGACUGUCGUGAAAUCCCCGGGCUUAACCUGGGAAUGGCGAUGGUGACUGCAAGGCUAGAGUUUGGCAGAGGGGGGUAGAAUUCCACGUGUAGCAGUGAAAUGCGUAGAUAUGUGGAGGAACACCGAUGGCGAAGGCAGCCCCCUGGGUCAAAACUGACGCUCAUGCACGAAAGCGUGGGGAGCAAAC